GAUGAACGCUGACAGAAUGCUUAACACAUGCAAGUCAACUUGAAUUUGGGUUUUUAACUUAGGUUUGGGUGGCGGACGGGUGAGUAACGCGUAAAGAACUUGCCUCACAGCUAGGGACAACAUUUGGAAACGAAUGCUAAUACCUAAUAUUAUGAUAAUAGGGCAUCCUAUAAUUAUGAAAGCUAUAAGCGCUGUGAGAGAGCUUUGCGUCCCAUUAGCUAGUUGGAGAGGUAACGGCUCACCAAGGCGAUGAUGGGUAGCCGGCCUGAGAGGGUGAUCGGCCACAAGGGGACUGAGACACGGCCCUUACUCCUACGGGAGGCAACAGUGGGGAAUAUUGGACAAUGGACCGAGAGUCUGAUCCAGCAAUUCUGUGUGCACGAUGAAGUUUUUCGGAAUGUAAAGUGCUUUCAGUUGGGAAGAAACAAAUGACGGUACCAACAGAAGAAGUGACGGCUAAAUACGUG
RNAcentral lists this ribosomal RNA (467 nucleotides) under uncultured bacterium. RNAcentral's name for it is "partial 16S ribosomal RNA". It matches the Rfam family "Bacterial small subunit ribosomal RNA", at positions 28 to 507 of the family's 1533-position model. The record is from RNAcentral.